This is a long non-coding RNA of Alligator sinensis (Chinese alligator), 443 nucleotides long. RefSeq lists it as uncharacterized. The transcript is spliced from 3 exons. The record is from RefSeq and is a predicted model, not a curated record. Lineage: Eukaryota; Metazoa; Chordata; Crocodylia; Alligatoridae.
CACAAAUCAGUUCAGCGUGGAUCCCUGCAUGGUCAGCAUGGUGACUCAUGAGAAACUCCUUGCAUGUUGGAUGCUGGCUGCCAGAUCUGCCCCAUAGGCUACACAGCAUCCCGGGUUAUAUUUAGGACUCUUAGAAGAGCAGAAAUAGAAGGACAAAAUGAAGAAUAAAGGCAUUACAAAAUAGAAGAUAGGCAGAUUAAUGAAGACAGAAGAUUAGAGAAUCAAAUAGAGAACAGGAAAUAGACAUAUAGUCAAAGAAUAAAAAUAGAUUACAAUAGAGAUAGAAAAGUAUAUAGAAUCGAGUAUAAAGAUAGAUAGAAUAGAUACACAUGGAAUCCUCAUGGCAAUGAGACUUGUGAAUACUGCGUUGGGGCUGGGAGGGAUGCAAGAUGCAGAGCGCCUAUAUGGCCUGGUGCGGGAAGCUGUGGGGCAUGUGCAUAAGG